UACGUAGGUGGCAAGCGUUGUCCGGAUUUACUGGGCGUAAAGAGCGCGCAGGCGGUCGUUCAAGUCGCGUGUGAAAGCCCCCGGCUCAACUGGGGAGGGUCACGCGAUACUGAUCGACUCGAAGGCAGGAGAGGGUAGUGGAAUUCCCGGUGUAGUGGUGAAAUGCGUAGAUAUCGGGAGGAACACCAGUGGCGAAGGCGACUACCUGGCCUGUUCUUGACGCUGAGGCACGAAAGCCAGGGGAGCAAACGGG
This 253-nucleotide ribosomal RNA is filed under the name uncultured bacterium. Its description in RNAcentral is "partial 16S ribosomal RNA". It matches the Rfam family "Bacterial small subunit ribosomal RNA", at positions 524 to 776 of the family's 1533-position model. The record is from RNAcentral.